RNAcentral lists this ribosomal RNA (253 nucleotides) under uncultured bacterium. Its description in RNAcentral is "partial 16S ribosomal RNA". It matches the Rfam family "Bacterial small subunit ribosomal RNA", at positions 524 to 776 of the family's 1533-position model. The record is from RNAcentral.
UACGAAGGGGUCUAGCGUUGCUCGGAAUCACUGGGCGUAAAGCGCACGUAGGCGGACUCUUAAGUCGGUGGUGAAAUCCUGGAGCUCAACUCCAGAACUGCCUUCGAUACUGAGAGUCUCGAGUCCGAGAGAGGUGAGUGGAACUGCGAGUGUAGAGGUGAAAUUCGUAGAUAUUCGCAAGAACACCAGUGGCGAAGGCGGCUCACUGGCUCGGUACUGACGCUGAGGUGCGAAAGCGUGGGGAGCAAACAGG